This 440-nucleotide ribosomal RNA is filed under the name uncultured bacterium. Its description in RNAcentral is "bacterial SSU rRNA". It matches the Rfam family "Bacterial small subunit ribosomal RNA", at positions 41 to 473 of the family's 1533-position model. The record is from RNAcentral.
GGCAGGCCUAACACGUGCAAGUCGAACGGUAGCACAGAGAGCUUGCUCUCGGGUGACGAGUGGCGGACGGGUGAGUAAUGUCUGGGAAACUGCCUGAUGGAGGGGGAUAACUACUGGAAACGGUAGCUAAUACCGCAUAACGUCGCAAGACCAAAGAGGGGGACCUUCGGGCCUCUUGCCAUCAGAUGUGCCCAGAUGGGAUUAGCUAGUAGGUGGGGUAACGGCUCACCUAGGCGACGAUCCCUAGCUGGUCUGAGAGGAUGACCAGCCACACUGGAACUGAGACACGGUCCAGACUCCUACGGGAGGCAGCAGUGGGGAAUAUUGCACAAUGGGCGCAAGCCUGAUGCAGCCAUGCCGCGUGUAUGAAGAAGGCCUUCGGGUUGUAAAGUACUUUCAGCGGGGAGGAAGGUGUUGUGGUUAAUAACCGCAGCAAUGAC